AGCGAACGCUGGCGGCAGGCCUAACACAUGCAAGUCGAACGAACUCUUCGGAGUUAGUGGCGGACGGGUGAGUAACACGUGGGAACGUGCCUUUUGGUUCGGAAUAACUCAGGGAAACUUGUGCUAAUACCGAAUGUGCCCUUCGGGGGAAAGAUUUAUCGCCAUUAGAGCGGCCCGCGUCUGAUUAGCUAGUUGGUGAGGUAACGGCUCACCAAGGCGACGAUCAGUAGCUGGUCUGAGAGGAUGACCAGCCACACUGGGACUGAGACACGGCCCAGACUCCUUCGGGAGGCAGCAGUGGGGAAUCUUGCGCAAUGGGCGAAAGCCUGACGCAGCCAUGCCGCGUGAAUGAUGAAGGUCUUAGGAUUGUAAAAUUCUUUCACCGGGGACGAUAAUGACGGUACCCGGAGAAGAAGCCCCGGCUAACUUCGUG
This 433-nucleotide ribosomal RNA is filed under the name uncultured bacterium. Its description in RNAcentral is "partial 16S ribosomal RNA". It matches the Rfam family "Bacterial small subunit ribosomal RNA", at positions 29 to 507 of the family's 1533-position model. The record is from RNAcentral.